CCUACGUGGAGCAGCAGUGGGGAAUAUUGCGCAAUGGGCGAAAGCCUGACGCAGCGACGCCGCGUGAGGGAUGAAGGUCUUCGGAUCGUAAACCUCUGUCAGCAGGGAAGAACGGUCACUGUGCUAAUCAGCAGUGAAUUGACGGUACCUGCAAAGGAAGCACCGGCUAACUCCGUGCCAGCAGCCGCGGUAAUACGGAGGGUGCGAGCGUUAAUCGGAAUUACUGGGCGUAAAGCGCUCGUAGGCGGUAUGUCAUGUCAAGGGUGAAAUCCCCGCGCUCAACGUGGGAACUGCCUUUGAAACUGGCAAACUGGAGUGUGUGAGAGGAUAGUGGAAUUCCAGGUGUAGGAGUGAAAUCCGUAGAUAUCUGGAGGAACAUCAGUGGCGAAGGCGACUAUCUGGCACAUAACUGACGCUGAGGAGCGAAAGCGUGGGUAGCAAACAGGAUUAGAUACCCUAGUAGUC
This 465-nucleotide ribosomal RNA is filed under the name uncultured bacterium. RNAcentral's name for it is "partial 16S ribosomal RNA". It matches the Rfam family "Bacterial small subunit ribosomal RNA", at positions 338 to 795 of the family's 1533-position model. The record is from RNAcentral.